RNAcentral lists this long non-coding RNA (289 nucleotides) under Trifolium pratense (red clover). Its description in RNAcentral is "long non-coding RNA (TPRA_LNC004347)". The record is from RNAcentral. Lineage: Eukaryota; Viridiplantae; Streptophyta; Magnoliopsida; Fabales; Fabaceae.
AGUUUGAUCCAGAAAUUGAGAAGACAGCUCGUGCAAAUCGGAAAGCGGCAAGGGAAUCUCAAGCUUCUAGGGAAAAAGCUUCGUUAGGUGGUGUACCGGACUGUCAAGAACAGAGUUCAGCUGCUAUGGAAGAAGAGCAGGAUCCACCGAUCAACGUUCCACCGAUUCCUCAACCACAAAGACGUACUCUUGGUGACUAUGGGCGAAGGGAUAAUGACGCUCUAGCAAAUCAAGGUUUUCAACCGGCAAACCCGGUCUCCUUUGACAUAAAGAAUACUGUGUUAUCCGC